AACGAACGCUGGCGGCAUGCCUAACACAUGCAAGUCGAACGAGACCUUCGGGUCUAGUGGCGCACGGGUGCGUAACGCGUGGGAACCUGCCCUUAGGUUCGGAAUAACUCCCCGAAAGGGGUGCUAAUACCGGAUAAUGUCUUCGGACCAAAGAUUUAUCGCCUUUGGAUGGGCCCGCGUUGGAUUAGCUAGUUGGUAGGGUAAAAGCCUACCAAGGCGACGAUCCAUAGCUGGUCUGAGAGGAUGAUCAGCCACACUGGGACUGAGACACGGCCCAGACUCCUACGGGAAGCAGCAGUGGGGAAUAUUGGACAAUGGGCGAAAGCCUGAUCCAGCAAUGCCGCGUGAGUGAUGAGGGCCUUAGGGUUGUAAAGCUCUUUUACCCGGGAUGAUAAUGACAGUACCGGGAGAAUAAGCUCCGGCUAACUCCGUG
This 433-nucleotide ribosomal RNA is filed under the name uncultured bacterium. Its description in RNAcentral is "partial 16S ribosomal RNA". It matches the Rfam family "Bacterial small subunit ribosomal RNA", at positions 29 to 507 of the family's 1533-position model. The record is from RNAcentral.